Molecule: ribosomal RNA, 248 nt
Filed under: uncultured soil bacterium
Lineage: Bacteria
Description: partial 16S ribosomal RNA
Rfam family: Bacterial small subunit ribosomal RNA
Source: RNAcentral
AGGAUGAACGCUGGCGGCGUGCUUAACACAUGCAAGUCAAGGGGGCCCAGCAAUGGGUAACCGGCGAACGGGUGCGUAACACGUGAGCAACCUACCGAAUUGUGGGGGAUAGCCGGCCCAACGGCCGGGUAAUACCGCAUACGCUCGAGACGAGGCAUUUCGACUCGAGGAAACCUCGGGACAUUUCGAGGGGCUCGCGGCCUAUCAGCUAGUUGAUGAGGUAACGCUCACCAAGGCGACGACGGGUA